Aethalodelphis obliquidens (Pacific white-sided dolphin) is the source of this 1194-nucleotide long non-coding RNA. RefSeq lists it as uncharacterized. Lineage: Eukaryota; Metazoa; Chordata; Mammalia; Artiodactyla; Delphinidae. The transcript has 3 exons. The record is from RefSeq and is a predicted model, not a curated record.
UUGUUAGUUGAUUAACUCAGGUCUCUCAUGCUGAGGGCAGGCUCCUUGAGGGCAAGCCCGUUUUAUUCAUCUUCAUCUCCUGACCACAUGACUUUUGCAGCAACACAUUAACAUGUAAUACAUAUUCAAAUAUAAUUGUGAAAUGCCGACAUAAUGAAUGAACACACGAGUGAAUGAUGUCACAAGCCAAAUUCGCUUUCCAAUAAAACACCAUUUCUACAUUUUAUUCAAAGAACUCCCAAGGUAUAAAAAGCCAGAGACUUGUUCAAGUUCGUAGAUGGUCAGUCAAGGAGCAGGGCAGAGAAUUUAGGAGUCCUGAGCCCUGGAUAGCUGACAACCGGCCAUCUCUACUCUCCAGGGAGAGCGAGAGGCCAGGAUGGCUGCCGCAUGGAGGCCUGUGCUGUGCGUUUUCUUGGAUUUGUACACUCCCUUUUUUGUUUCAGACUGACUGAGCCAGGGCUUCUGAAAUUUCAGGAGUGAGAGCACCUCUAAGAAAGAGGCAGAACACAGUCAGCACUGCUCCACCUGAAAUACGCCCGCCGGUCCUGUUGUGACCGGGGACCUGUGAUGACACAGAGCCUAUGUUCUGAGUGAGGAUGCGUGUGCGCGUGCUCGGGUGAUGUGCGUGUUACCGCCGGUUCCCACUCCACGCAGGAGCCUGCCUCAGCGCUUCCCAAGCACAUUGGAGCUCUUUACGUGCCCGGCUCUCCUACUAAACUGCGAGUUUCUCGAAGAUGCAGAAACUGAGGCACUGAGAGUGCCAGCAGUGGUUGGUGGUGGGAAUGUCCCCAAGGCAGAGGUGAAUCAAGAUUUGUUCAUAAUGAGAGCUCCGUUGAAAGAAAGAAGAUGCACUGAGUAAGGAAAGCAACAUUGAACACCUGCUCUGCCAGGUCUCAGACCUGAGUGCGUGUCCCCUGGCUGUCAGUGUGCACGGUGACGAGAUGGUGGGAACUGGUUUGACACCAACACGAACCCUUCACCGAAAACUCAACUCAACCCCAGGGAUUUCUGAGCUGUCGAAGAAAGUUUGAUGACUUUCCUUGCUUAACCAGGCCCUGUUAAGCUCCCUUGAGGCUAAGUAAGGAAGAAGGGGCCAUGAAUUUUUUUUUAAACAUCUUUAUUGGAGGAUAAUUGCUUUACAAUGUUGUGUUAGUUUCUGCUGUAUAACAAAGUGAAUCAGCUAUCCGUAUACAU